Molecule: long non-coding RNA, 420 nt
Filed under: Mytilus galloprovincialis (Mediterranean mussel)
Lineage: Eukaryota; Metazoa; Mollusca; Bivalvia; Mytilida; Mytilidae
Source: RNAcentral
CAAGAAAUCAAUUUUUAGUAAAAACAAAAAGAAAAUUUUAUUUUGGACACUUUUGACCAUAGUUAGCAAAAAACCACAACCACUGAAUUACCAAUGAUUACCGGCUCCUGACUUGGGAUAGGCACACACAGAAUGUGGCUAUGUAGGAUGGUGCCAAACCCUCCCCUAACCUGGGACAGUGGUGCAAAAAGAAAAAUAAUAAAAAAACAGAACUCUGAGGAAAUUUCAAAACAGAAAGUCUCAAAUCAAAUGACAAACCAAAAGCUCAAACACAUUAAACAAAUAGAUAACAACUGUCAUUUAUCUGCCUAGGUACAGGCAUUUUCUUGUGUAGAAAAUGGUGGAUAAAACCUGGUUUUAUAGCAAAGACAUGAACACACUAUACAAAACAAUAAAUAAAAAAAUAUAUGAUACAGCAAC